GCCACUGCUUGCUUCUGUCACACAUUCACAACAAUGAGAAAGGAGACCUAGUGUUAAGUUUCCAUUUUCUCUUAAUGUUUUUUUCUUCCUCACACUGUCCAUGUAGGAGACAAGUGUGCAGAAUGCCAGGUAACUUUACACAGGUGAUGUUACCUUCACUGGUCCUUCAAUCACCUAUCCGAUUUCCCCCAUUAAGGCAUUAGCACCUGACUCUGGAAGGACUGUGACCUUUCUGUGGAAAAACAUAUAAUUUAUUUUUCCCCUGCCUAAGGGAUUAGAUGAUUAUAAAAAUGUGCAGAAGAAGUCAGGGUUGUCAAUUCUUCAUUCUAACUAUUUGUGUUUUCAAGAGACCCGGGAUGUCUUAAUUGCCAAAAGAUAUUGUGAAUUUCCACAUGCAGCUGGGGAAGCCACUCUGCUGCCUGAAGGUACAUGUGGAACAGCCAAUGCCUGUGAGUUGCCAAGGACCUGGGGACAGGGAGUGCCCACGAGCAAAGCCAGUGAUGGAGAGAGCAAUCACCACCACCUCUGACUGAGGCAUGCCUACAAGGAAGAUCAGAAGGAGGUGCAGCUCAUCUGUUGCUACCAACACCGCUGUGGCCAUCUCUCUCUAACUUCAGAAUCCAGACUUCCAACAUGGACUGAAGACUAGAGGUGCGCCUCUGGGAAUCCUCCAGGCCUUCAAGAGACCAGUCUGAAUCCAGAGGGAAAAAUAGGACUGAAUAUGCUCAGAGACUUGAAAAGGAACUAAGAGGAAAUGGCAAUGAUUAUUAAUGAGCAUGCAAUUAUGACAACACCAUCAACAAUCACGUCUGACCACUGAUGAGCAAGCUCUCUACUGGAGAUUGUGUCUGUGUGUGAAGUCAACCAACAACAGACUCCUGCUCCUUCACCCACGCCCUUAUGCACAGUGGGACAUGAGCACAACACGGGCAUCAGGAUGGGAACAAUGAACCUGGUCUUGGUGGAAGAGAAAUGUCAAAUCGAUGGAGAGAUAAAGCAGCAGCAGGUAAGAACAAGCAGCUCUGGCGGAGGACCCAAGUUCAGUUACCAGCACUCAAGUUGGAUGAAAUCACAGCUGCCUGUAUCUUUGGCUCCAGGUGAUUUGAUGCCCUCUUUUGGCCUUCAGG
Peromyscus leucopus (white-footed mouse) is the source of this 1127-nucleotide long non-coding RNA. RefSeq lists it as uncharacterized. The record is from RefSeq and is a predicted model, not a curated record. The transcript is spliced from 6 exons. Lineage: Eukaryota; Metazoa; Chordata; Mammalia; Rodentia; Cricetidae.